CAUGAUCUAACGGGGUGUCUUUUGUGCUUGCGUGCAAAAGGCUGAGAGGCUUGCCAACCCGAAGAACCUGAUCCGGUUCAUACCGGCGGAGGGAUUAGACGGCUUCAAGGC
Molecule: non-coding RNA, 111 nt
Organism: Spinacia oleracea (spinach)
Lineage: Eukaryota; Viridiplantae; Streptophyta; Magnoliopsida; Caryophyllales; Amaranthaceae
Source: Rfam